UACGUAGGGGGCGAGCGUUGUCCGAAGUUACUGGGCGUAAAGCGUGCGCAGGCGGUUUUGUAAGUCUGACGUGAAAUCCCCGGGCUCAACCUGGGAAUUGCGUUGGAGACUGCAAGGCUAGAGUCUGGCAGAGGGGGGUAGAAUUCCACGUGUAGCAGUGAAAUGCGUAGAGAUGUGGAGGAACACCGAUGGCGAAGGCAGCCCCCUGGGUCAAGACUGACGCUCAUGCACGAAAGCGUGGGGAGCAAACAGG
RNAcentral lists this ribosomal RNA (253 nucleotides) under uncultured bacterium. Its description in RNAcentral is "partial 16S ribosomal RNA". It matches the Rfam family "Bacterial small subunit ribosomal RNA", at positions 524 to 776 of the family's 1533-position model. The record is from RNAcentral.